GAGUUUGAUCAUGGCUCAGAUUGAACGCUGGCGGCAGGCCUAACACAUGCAAGUCGAGCGGGGUUUUCGGACCUAGCGGCGGACGGGUGAGUAAUGCGUAGGGAGCUGCCCGAUAGAGGGGGAUACCAGUUGGAAACGACUGUUAAUACCGCAUAAUGUCUACGGACCAAAGUGUGGGACCUUCGGGCCACAUGCUGUCGGAUGCACCUACGUGGGAUUAGCUAGUUGGUGGGGUAACGGCUCACCAAGGCGACGAUCCCUAGCUGGUUUGAGAGGAUGAUCAGCCACACUGGAACUGAGACACGGUCCAGACUCCUACGGGAGGCAGCAGUGGGGAAUAUUGGACAAUGGGGGCAACCCUGAUCCAGCCAUGCCGCGUGUGUGAAGAAGGCCUUC
Molecule: ribosomal RNA, 396 nt
Filed under: uncultured Gammaproteobacteria bacterium
Lineage: Bacteria; Pseudomonadati; Pseudomonadota; Gammaproteobacteria
Description: bacterial SSU rRNA
Rfam family: Bacterial small subunit ribosomal RNA
Source: RNAcentral